UUCAUUUUUAUGAGGGCCUGUGAAAAAUGAAAGAAGCAAUCUGAUUGGUUGCUAUGGGCAACUGGGCAAGUUUUCCUCUGCACAGGUUUUGAUAAAUCUCCCCCCAUAGAGAUCAUUCCCAGUAUGAGAUUUAUUCCCCUGCAGUCCAUACAUCCCCAGCCCAUGCACCCUGUCAUCCUCCCCUUCAGAUAAGACUUAUCUUCUCUGUGAGGUCCUUCUCCUGUGCAGACCUGCGUCCUUAGAACACAAAGCAGGGGGGAGGGGAGGUGAGGAGCUGUGUACUCAGCUGGAUGAGAUGAGGGGGCGUGGCUUAUUCCUCUCAUGCAGACAGAGAGAAAAAAAAAGCUGUGACAUCUUGUUCACAACAGACUCAGAACUGUGGACAACAGUAAAAGAAAACACUCGGAACUACAGAACUUCCUGCCCAACAAACAAUGUAAAUAGGGCUAAAGGUAAAGCCAGAUGUGUCCAAGGAUCUGCAACAAAUUUUCAUCAGACCGUACCCAACAAAGUUUAAAGGAAUGAGAAGACCAUAUGAUGGCACAAUGACACAGCCUGGAGGUGGCAGCAGCAUGAGAAGACCAUAAUGUGGCAGAAUGACACAGCCUGGAAUUGGCGGCAGCAAAAGGAGACCAUAUAGUGGCAGAAUGACCCAACCUGGAUGUGGCAAUAACCUGACGAGACCACAGGGCCUCACAAUUGAAAACAUUACAGAUAUAUAUAUAUAUUUUUUUGUUUAAAUUCAAGAUUUCAAAUAGAUGAACCUAAAAAGUUUCAUUUAAUGUGCCAGCAGCAUGAGGAGACCAUAUGGCGGCACAAUGAGAAAGCCUGGAGGUGGCAUGAGGGCCAUGCCAACUGAGGGUUGAGUCUAAGUAACCCACCUACUGUUGACUGGGGGUGUCGGAUGUCACUUGGGAUUAAGUGAAUGGCCGAGUGAACCAAUCAAUCACGGCUGCUGGGUUGCUGGUCGAGACACGACUGCUAGCUGAUUCAGACCUCUCGCUGCGACUCCUGCUGCCACACACCCCUACUCUGCUGCAACCUCUGCCUGUUCCUGAUGAAUUUAUGCC
This is a long non-coding RNA of Hyla sarda, 1070 nucleotides long. RefSeq lists it as uncharacterized. Lineage: Eukaryota; Metazoa; Chordata; Amphibia; Anura; Hylidae. The transcript has 3 exons. The record is from RefSeq and is a predicted model, not a curated record.